RNAcentral lists this non-coding RNA (548 nucleotides) under Pongo abelii (Sumatran orangutan). Lineage: Eukaryota; Metazoa; Chordata; Mammalia; Primates; Hominidae. The record is from RNAcentral.
AUUUACCGAUGUGGUUGUCCUCGAUGUGCUCGAUGAGGUCGGCCAGGGUGGGGAAGUGGAGUCCGCAGCCCCCGAAUCGGCAGAGAUGGAGUUUUGCCAUUUGCCCAGGCUUGUCUCGAACUCCUGGGCUCAACCACCUUGGCCUCCCAAAGUGCUGGGAUUACAGGGGUUCCUGUUGAGAUGAAAGUAAAUGCAUUUACCAGCAUACAUGUCAUGGAAGACUGACUCUGCACCAUGCUCUGUGACAAAAGGCUUCAAGAUUAAACCGGUUUGCCCUUCUACCAUGAAGGUGAGCCAUGAAGUCUAUUGCCCAGGGAUUGGGGACGUUUGUAUUAAAGAAGAUUUUGGAGUACAGAAGCAGGAAGACGUGUUGUGGAGAUGCUGUUGGCAGAAACAACUGGCCUUGACUAAACAAACCAAGAGUUCCUACAGGAGCAGAGGCCACCGGGUGGAGGCUGACGCCCUUGCACAGGCUUGGGCAGCUCUUCUCCACAUGUCCACGUGGCUCACUUCCUCACCUACUUCAGGGCUCUGCUCACAUGUCACCU